GAUGAACGCUGGCGGCGUGCUUAACACAUGCAAGUCGAACGAAGCACUCUAUUUGAUUUUCUUCGGAAAUGAAGAUUUUGUGACUGAGUGGCGGACGGGUGAGUAACGCGUGGGUAACCUGCCUCAUACAGGGGGAUAACAGUUGGAAACGACUGCUAAUACCGCAUAAGCGCACAGGAUUGCAUGAUCCGGUGUGAAAAACUCCGGUGGUAUGAGAUGGACCCGCGUCUGAUUAGCCAGUUGGCAGGGUAACGGCCUACCAAAGCGACGAUCAGGAGCCGACCUGAGAGGGUGACCGGCCACAUUGGGACUGAGACACGGCCCAAACUCCUACGGGAGGCAGCAGUGGGGAAUAUUGCACAAUGGGGGAAACCCUGAUGCAGCGACGCCGCGUGAGCGAAGAAGUAUUUCGGUAUGUAAAGCUCUAUCAGCAGGGAAGAAGAAUGACGGUACCUGACUAAGAAGCACCGGCUAAAUACGUGCCAGCCGCCGCCGUAA
RNAcentral lists this ribosomal RNA (498 nucleotides) under uncultured bacterium. Its description in RNAcentral is "partial 16S ribosomal RNA". It matches the Rfam family "Bacterial small subunit ribosomal RNA", at positions 28 to 523 of the family's 1533-position model. The record is from RNAcentral.